Molecule: unclassified non-coding RNA, 311 nt
Filed under: Malassezia restricta
Lineage: Eukaryota; Fungi; Basidiomycota; Malasseziomycetes; Malasseziales; Malasseziaceae
Description: sequence contains ITS1
Source: RNAcentral
GCUUGUGAGAUUCGGGCGGCCUACGGACGCCACAAGUGUCCCUGGCCGCCUACACCCACUAUACAUCCACAAACCCGUGUGCACUGUCCUUGGAAUGGGCAUUUGGAGAGAAGAAGGAAGAGAGUGUGUAUUGUGCGCUCCGUCUCGUUUUGCGUUUAUCUCUCGGGUGUGCUCUCUGAGACCCCUUCCCCGCGACAAACACGAAAGUGGACUAUGAAAGUGGAACAUGUGUGGACCGUGUCUGGGCAACAAAUUAUAUGCAUCUUUCUACAACGGAUAUCUCGGGACUCUCAUCUCUAAAAAAACACCAC